RNAcentral lists this ribosomal RNA (468 nucleotides) under uncultured bacterium. RNAcentral's name for it is "partial 16S ribosomal RNA". It matches the Rfam family "Bacterial small subunit ribosomal RNA", at positions 28 to 507 of the family's 1533-position model. The record is from RNAcentral.
GACGAACGCUGGCGGCGUGCUUAACACAUGCAAGUCGAACGGAAAGGCCCUGCUUUUGUGGGGUGCUCGAGUGGCGAACGGGUGAGUAACACGUGAGUAACCUGCCCUUGACUUUGGGAUAACUUCAGGAAACUGGGGCUAAUACCGGAUAGGAGCUCCUGCUGCAUGGUGGGGGUUGGAAAGUUUCGGCGGUUGGGGAUGGACUCGCGGCUUAUCAGCUUGUUGGUGGGGUAGUGGCUUACCAAGGCUUUGACGGGUAGCCGGCCUGAGAGGGUGACCGGCCACAUUGGGACUGAGAUGCGGCCCAGACUCCUACGGGAGGCAGCAGUGGGGAAUAUUGCACAAGGGGCGGAAGCCUGAUGCAGCAACGCCGCGUGCGGGAUGACGGCCUUCGGGUUGUAAACCGCUUUCGCCUGUGACGAAGCGUGAGUGACGGUAAUGGGUAAAGAAGCACCGGCUAACUACGUG